This 2150-nucleotide ribosomal RNA is filed under the name Aliarcobacter butzleri. Its description in RNAcentral is "partial 23S ribosomal RNA". It matches the Rfam family "Bacterial large subunit ribosomal RNA", at positions 1 to 2149 of the family's 2925-position model. Lineage: Bacteria; Pseudomonadati; Campylobacterota; Epsilonproteobacteria; Campylobacterales; Arcobacteraceae. The record is from RNAcentral.
UAAUAAGCUAUUAAGGGCUAAUGGUGGAUGCCUAGACUGUAAGAGGCGAUGAAAGACGUAUUAGGCUGCGAUAAGCCUCGGGGAGCUGCCAAAGAGCUUUGAUCCGGGGAUUUCUGAAUGGGGCAACCCAAUAUAAUGAGAAUUAUAUUACCCUACGGGGAGCGAACCUAGUGAAGUGAAACAUCUCAGUAGCUAGAGGAAGAGAAAUCAAACGAGAUUCCCAAAGUAGCGGCGAGCGAAAUGGGAUUAGGACAAACCCAAUGCUUGCAUUGGGGGUUGUAGGACCAUGAUAUGAGACUAAAGAGGAUAGAUGAAAUACUUGGAAAAGUGUAGCAUAGAAGGUGAAACUCCUGUAAUUAAAAUUCUCAAUAGCUCUAAUGGUAUCCUGAGUAGGUCGGAACACGUGAUAUUUUGACUGAAGCCGGGGGGACCACCCUCCAAUCCUAAAUACUACUUACAGAUCGAUAGUGAACAAGUACCGUGAGGGAAAGGUGAAAAGUACUCCAGCGAGGAGAGUGAAAUAGAACCUGAAACCAUUAGCUUACAAUCAUUCAGAGCCCUAUGAUUUAUCAGGGUGAUGGACUGCCUUUUGCAUAAUGAGCCUGCGAGUUGUGGUAUCUGGCAAGGUUAAGUCAAGUACGAAGCCGUAGCGAAAGCGAGUCUUAAUAGGGCGAAUUAGUCAGAUGCUGCAGACCCGAAACGAAGUGAUCUAUCCAUGAGCAGGUUGAAGCUGGUGUAAGAGCCAGUGGAGGACCGAACCCGCAGGCGUUGAAAAGUCUUGGGAUGACUUGUGGAUAGGGGUGAAAGGCCAAUCAAACUUCGUGAUAGCUGGUUCUCUCCGAAAUAUAUUUAGGUAUAGCCUUGUGUUGUAGCAUAUGGGGGUAGAGCACUGAAUGGGCUAGGGCUGCUUACCGCGGUACCAAACCCUAUCAAACUAUGAAUACUAUAUGUGGAAUCACAGGAGUCAGGCGGUGGGUGAUAAAAUCAAUCGUCGAGAGGGGAACAACCCAGACUAACAGCUAAGGUCCCUAAGUUACAUCUAAGUGGAAAACGAUGUGGAGUUACUGUGACAACCAGGAGGUUGGCUUAGAAGCAGCCAUCCUUUAAAGAAAGCGUAACAGCUCACUGGUCUAGUGAUUCUGCGCGGAAAAUAUAACGGGGCUAAGAUGUACACCGAAGCUUUAGAUUCAAUUUUUAAUUGAGUGGUAGGAGAGCGUUCUAUUCAGCGUAGAAGAUGUACCGGUAAGGAGCGUUGGAGCGGAUAGAAGUGAGCAUGCAGGCAUGAGUAGCGAUAAUUGAGGUGAGAAUCCUCAACGCCGAAAACCCAAGGUUUCCUACGCGAUGCUCGUCAUCGUAGGGUUAGUCGGGACCUAAGUCGAGUCCGAAAGGGGUAGACGAUGGCAAAUUGAUUAAUAUUUCAAUACCAACAUAUAAGCGCGAUGUGGGGACGCAUAGAGUUAAUCGAGGUCACUGAUGGAAUAGUGGCUCGAAGGACGUAGGCUGUUAAGUAGGCAAAUCCGCUUAACAUUAGGCCGAGAUCUUACAGGCUCUUGACACUCUUCGGAGGAGAUGGAGAAUCGAUGAUACUGUCGUGCCAAGAAAAGCCACUAAGUUUAUUAUAUGUUGCCCGUACCGUAAACCGACACAGGUGGGUGGGAUGAGUAUUCUAAGGCGCGUGGAAGAACCCUGGUUAAGGAACUCUGCAAACUAGCACCGUAUCUUCGGUAUAAGGUGUGCCUACUUUUGUAUAUGAACUUGCUUCAAAAAGCGAAAGAGGUUGCAACAAAGAGUCCCUCCCGACUGUUUACCAAAAACACAGCACUUUGCUAACACGUAAGUGGAUGUAUAAGGUGUGACGCCUGCCCGGUGCUCGAAGGUUAACUGAUGAUGUCAGCGCAAGCGAAGCAUUUGAUUGAAGCCCGAGUAAACGGCGGCCGUAACUAUAACGGUCCUAAGGUAGCGAAAUUCCUUGUCGGUUAAAUACCGACCUGCAUGAAUGGCGUAACGAGAUGGGAGCUGUCUCAACCAGGGAUCCAGUGAAAUUGUAGUGGAGGUGAAAAUUCCUCCUACCCGCGGAAAGACGGAAAGACCCCGUGCACCUUUACUACAGCUUGACACUGUAGCUUGGAUAUUCAUGUGCAGGAUAGGUG